RNAcentral lists this ribosomal RNA (504 nucleotides) under uncultured bacterium. RNAcentral describes it as "bacterial SSU rRNA". It matches the Rfam family "Bacterial small subunit ribosomal RNA", at positions 29 to 527 of the family's 1533-position model. The record is from RNAcentral.
AUUGAACGCUGGCGGCAUGCUUUACACAUGCAAGUCGAACGGUAACAGGCCUUCGGGUGCUGACGAGUGGCGAACGGGUGAGUAAUGCAUCGGAACGUGGCCCAAUCGUGGGGGAUAACGUAGCGAAAGUUACGCUAAUACCGCAUAAGCCCUGAGGGGGAAAGUGGGGGACCGCAAGGCCUCACGCGAAUGGAGCGGCCGAUGUCAGAUUAGCUAGUUGGUGGGGUAAAGGCCCACCAAGGCGACGAUCUGUAGCGGGUCUGAGAGGAUGAUCCGCCACACUGGGACUGAGACACGGCCCAGACUCCUACGGGAGGCAGCAGUUGGGGAAUUUUGGACAAUGGGCGCAAGCCUGAUCCAGCCAUGCCGCGUGCGGGACGAAGGCCUGCGGGUUGUAAAGCACUUUCAGUGGGGAAGAACAGAUUCGGGUCAAUACCCCGGAGCCCUGACGUUACCCACAGAAGAAGCACCGGCUAACUCCGUGCCAGCAGCCGCGGUAAAGUG